RNAcentral lists this long non-coding RNA (559 nucleotides) under Homo sapiens (human). RNAcentral describes it as "HSALNT0336308". The record is from RNAcentral. Lineage: Eukaryota; Metazoa; Chordata; Mammalia; Primates; Hominidae.
GACAAAUCAGUUUCUGAUAGCGAAUGGGCAGAUGACAGGAGCUUAUUGGAUUUCUUUCCCCAAGGACUCAAUGAAGAAGUGAAAGAAGAGUGAGAGAGAAAAGCUACCCUGUGUGGAAUGGAAGGCAGAUGAGCUUCUACGAGUUCCAUCCCUGCCAUCAGCAUAAGGAUUGCCUGAUUCAGACAACCGUGUGGACCCAGAGGAAAAGGCAGCAUUGGCACACAUCAGCAACAGGAAGGGAAGGUGAAGUCCCAUGCCUCUCCCUACAGGUGUUCCUGGAAGGUGGUGUCAGAAGUAGAAUCCAAAGGAGAGCUUCUAACAACCCCCAGGAGUGCUGAGUGACCAAGUGAGGUAUCAUUGUGUCCAUUGCUCCCUCAGAGCAACUGAGGAUCAUGAGAGUUUCCUCUAUGCAUCAUGGAAAGCAUUAGGGGCUGAAGUCACACCACCGUGAAGUUUAAGAAGAGAAAAAGAGAAAGAAAAGACAACUAAAAGCUCUGGAAUUCGAAAUGAAGACUCCUUGUGCAGUCCUUAAAUAUUAAAAUAAACAUCUUUUAAAAUC